Molecule: ribosomal RNA, 524 nt
Filed under: uncultured bacterium
Lineage: Bacteria
Description: partial 16S ribosomal RNA
Rfam family: Bacterial small subunit ribosomal RNA
Source: RNAcentral
UGGGGAAUAUUGCACAAUGGGCGAAAGCCUGAUGCAACAACGCCGCGUGAGUGAUGAAGGCCUUCGGGUUGUAAAGCUCUGUCUUUUGGGACGAUAAUGACGGUACCAAAGGAGGAAGCCACGGCUAACUACGUGCCAGCAGCCGCGGUAAUACGUAGGUGGCAAGCGUUGUCCGGAUUUACUGGGCGUAAAGGAUGCGUAGGCGGAUUUUUAAGUGAGAUGUGAAAACCCUAAGCUUAACCUGGGGACUGCAUUUCAUACUGGAAAUCUAGAGUGCGGGAGAGGAGAAUGGAAUUCCUAGUGUAGCGGUGAAAUGCGUAGAGAUUAGGAAGAACACCAGUGGCGAAGGCGAUUCUCUGGACCGUAACUGACGCUGAGGCAUGAAAGCGUGGGUAGCAAACAGGAUUAGAUACCCUGGUAGUCCACGCCGUAAACGAUGAGUACUAGGUGUAGGAGGUAUCGACCCCUUCUGUGCCGCAGUUAACACAAUAAGUACUCCGCCUGGGAAGUACGAUCGCAAGAUU